GAUGAACGCUGGCGGCGUGCCUAAUACAUGCAAGUCGAGCGAACAGACGAGGAGCUUGCUCCUCUGACGUUAGCGGCGGACAGGUGAGUAACACGUGGAUAACCUACCUAUAAGACUGGGAUAACUUCGGGAAACCGGAGCUAAUACCGGAUAAUAUAUUGAACCGCAUGGUUCAAUAGUGAAAGACGGUUUUGCUGUCACUUAUAGAUGGAUCCGCGCCGCAUUAGCUAGUUGGUAAGGUAACGGCUUACCAAGGCAACGAUGCGUAGCCGACCUGAGAGGGUGAUCGGCCACACUGGAACUGAAACACGGUCCAGACUCCUACGGGAGGCAGCAGUAGGGAAUCUUCCGCAAUGGGCGAAAGCCUGACGGAGCAACGCCGCGUGAGUGAUGAAGGUCUUCGGAUCGUAAAACUCUGUUAUUAGGGAAGAACAAAUGUGUAAGUAACUAUGCACGUCUUGACGGUACCUAAUCAGAAAGCCACGGCUAACUACGUG
Molecule: ribosomal RNA, 497 nt
Filed under: uncultured bacterium
Lineage: Bacteria
Description: partial 16S ribosomal RNA
Rfam family: Bacterial small subunit ribosomal RNA
Source: RNAcentral